UGACAGUACUCCUACGGGGAGGCAGCAGUGGGGGAAUAUUGCACAAUGGGCGCAAGCCUGAUGCAGCCAUGCCGCGUGUAUGAAGAAGGCCUUCGGGUUGUAAAGUACUUUCAGCAGUGAGGAAGGCAGGUACGUUAAUAGCGUACUUGUUUGACGUUAGCUGCAGAAGAAGCACCGGCUAACUCCGUGCCAGCAGCCGCGGUAAUACGGAGGGUGCGAGCGUUAAUCGGAAUUACUGGGCGUAAAGCGCAUGCAGGUGGUUUGUUAAGUCAGAUGUGAAAGCCCGGGGCUCAACCUCGGAAUUGCAUUUGAAACUGGCAGACUAGAGUACUGUAGAGGGGGGUAGGAAUUUCAGGUGUAGCGGUGAAAUGCGUAGAGAUCUGAAGGAAUACCGGUGGCGAAGGCGGCCCCCUGGACAGAUACUGACACUCAGAUGCGAAAGCGUGGGGAGCAAACAGGAUUAGAUACCCCUGGUAG
This 477-nucleotide ribosomal RNA is filed under the name uncultured bacterium. Its description in RNAcentral is "bacterial SSU rRNA". It matches the Rfam family "Bacterial small subunit ribosomal RNA", at positions 328 to 793 of the family's 1533-position model. The record is from RNAcentral.